GUGUGUUUGAGAGAGCUUCCUUCGGUCCACCCAUGGAUGUUUAAGGGGGUUGAAUCAGCUGCCGACUCAUUCAUUCGAACACACAGUAGAUAUGAAGUGUGCUCGGUUCUCUACAGUUCGUGCAGCAGAUGAAAGCUUUCGGAUUAUGGCUACUAUGUGAAUGAGUGAAUGAUGCGGGAGACUAUUCUUUCUCUUCCAUUCCAUGCUUGGACUGAAGGGAGCUCCCUCUUCCUCAUCU
Molecule: non-coding RNA, 238 nt
Organism: Musa acuminata subsp. malaccensis (wild Malaysian banana)
Lineage: Eukaryota; Viridiplantae; Streptophyta; Magnoliopsida; Zingiberales; Musaceae
Source: Rfam